Molecule: ribosomal RNA, 119 nt
Filed under: Macaca nemestrina (pig-tailed macaque)
Lineage: Eukaryota; Metazoa; Chordata; Mammalia; Primates; Cercopithecidae
Source: RNAcentral
AUCUAUGGCCAUACCACCUUGAAUGCACCUGAUCUCAUCUGAUCUCGGAAGCUAAGCAGGGUCGGGCCUGGUUAGUGCUUGGAUGGGAGACCGCCUGGGAAUACCAGGUGCUGUAGGCU